GAGAGAGACUUUUACUGAUGUUAUAUCAUAUCAAUAAUCCAACUUUGAAAAUAAUCUGUACACUAACACUAAAUGUUCAACUAUUCAGAAAUGUCUGUUGUUCACUGUUCUAUAGUUCCUUAAGUUCGCCUGUAUGCAACUUAUUUUCAGGCACCGUGUUACACAAUUACCAUCAAUUGGCUGUCAUUGUUGUCCAUCGCCUCUGUCAGUCGUCCCAAUGGGAUGAGUUGUGUUCUCAUUGUUAUUCUGCAUUUUCAUUUUUAUUCAUUCCUGUAACAAUAUUAACUUCUUGUUGGCUCUACUGAUCAAUUCUAUCCUCUCUCUCCUUUGAUACAGAACUGGUAUUUACAGCAUUAAUCAUUUCAACGAAUAAGGAACAACUGGGAGAGCCUUUGUCAUGAUUAAA
RNAcentral lists this long non-coding RNA (406 nucleotides) under Androctonus crassicauda. The record is from RNAcentral. Lineage: Eukaryota; Metazoa; Arthropoda; Arachnida; Scorpiones; Buthidae.